This 312-nucleotide ribosomal RNA is filed under the name uncultured Methanosaeta sp. Its description in RNAcentral is "bacterial SSU rRNA". It matches the Rfam family "Archaeal small subunit ribosomal RNA", at positions 1029 to 1338 of the family's 1478-position model. Lineage: Archaea; Methanobacteriati; Methanobacteriota; Methanomicrobia; Methanotrichales; Methanotrichaceae. The record is from RNAcentral.
UUAAGUCAGGCAACGAGCGAGACCCACGCCCACAGUUGCCAGCGUACUCUCCGGAGUGACGGGUACACUGUGGGGACUGCCGCUGCUAAAGCGGAGGAAGGAAUGGGGCAACGGUAGGUCAGUAUGCCCCCGAAUAUCCCGGGCUACACGCGAGCUACAAUGGUUGGUACAAUGGGUAUCUACCCCGAAAGGGGACGGAAAUCUCCUAAAACCAAUCUUAGUUCGGAUUGAGGGCUGCAACUCGCCCUCAUGAAGCUGGAAUCCGUAGUAAUCGCGUUUCAACAGAACGCGGUGAAUACGUCCCUGCUCCUU